AGCUUUGCGCAGUGGCAGUAUCGUAGCCAAUGAGGUUAAUCUGAGGUGCGAUUAUUGCUAAUUGAAAACUUUUCCCAAUACCCCACCAUGACGACUUGAAAUAUAGUCUGCAAUGGCAAUUUUUGACAGUCUCUAUGGAGA
Lacerta agilis (Sand lizard) is the source of this 141-nucleotide small nuclear RNA. RefSeq annotates it as U4 spliceosomal RNA. The transcript has a single exon. NCBI's taxonomy places the organism in Eukaryota, Metazoa, Chordata, Lepidosauria, Squamata, Lacertidae. The record is from RefSeq and is a predicted model, not a curated record.